Molecule: long non-coding RNA, 242 nt
Organism: Hordeum vulgare subsp. vulgare (domesticated barley)
Lineage: Eukaryota; Viridiplantae; Streptophyta; Magnoliopsida; Poales; Poaceae
Exons: 3
Source: RefSeq, a predicted model, not a curated record
UUCGUUGCUGGAUUCAGGGAACAUAUGAUGCAAGAGGAUAUUUGACUGCAACGUAUUUGAACAAACUACAAAAAGUAAGAAUUACAUGAGGUCAUGUCUUUUGUGUCAACAGUGAAGGAUGUUCUACAAUACGUCUACUCGGAAGUAGAGGGAAGAAGAUGCUUUGUAUCUCAUUUUAAUUUAAAUCCAUGUGAUAGAUCAAGUUUUGCGUGAACUUUUUGGACAUGACUUGUUGGUCUUAG